Long non-coding RNA from Zingiber officinale, 890 nucleotides. RefSeq lists it as uncharacterized. NCBI's taxonomy places the organism in Eukaryota, Viridiplantae, Streptophyta, Magnoliopsida, Zingiberales, Zingiberaceae. The record is from RefSeq and is a predicted model, not a curated record. The transcript has 2 exons.
ACUGAGUUGGCAGUCCGCGUGGCCAUAUCCACCUCAACCCUCUCUCUCUCCGCUUCGCGAAUGCAGUCCGCGUUAAAAUGUGUGAUUUUUUUCGCGUGCCCUAACGCUUUACCCUCUUCCCCCUUGCGAAGCUUUGCAGCUUCGCAACUUUUGCUUCCCCUUCUCCUUCCCCUGCCAUUCUCUCUUCUCCCUCUGCCACAGUCCUUAUUUCUCCAUUGUAGUUCUCAGAUCUCCCUCCUUGCCAUUUUCUCUUCUCCCUCCCCUGCCCUAAUUCUCCUCCCAGCGAAAUUAGUGUCGUGCCCUAACUUCUUCAAAAGCGCCGCCACGUCUUCUCCUUCCGCGACAGAUUCCUCCUCCCAGCAAGCCUCGUCUUCCUCCUCCUAGCAUUUUCGAAGAGCAAGGAGCAGUGACUUUGAGUAUUCUUUGAGGUACUUCAUGGCAUCAUCAAAUUAUAGCAGCAUUGACAAUACGAGAUUUCAAGAUGUAACAUGUAGGGACUGCGGACAAAGAAUAAUAGUUUGUGUUUCUAGAUCAACCAAGAAUCCCGGAAGAUAAUAUUACAAAUGUGGGCAAUAUGGAUGGCAAAAGUGGGUGACGUCCGAUACUGCUUUAUCUGGCAAAAUUAAAAGUGAACAGAAUGUUUCUCGUGGAGGAAUAAUCAAUGUACCAAAAGUCAUUUGGAUAUCAGUGAUGGUGAACUUGAUUCUUCUAGCCAUAAUCCUGAUUGUGUUGUUAGUUCAUCUGGUUAGUUAGAGUUAAGUAAUGUUGGUGUUCUAAUGUAAUUUGUUAAAUAUUUGUAAUUCUGGACGUAAACUUGGUUUGUUAGUUUAUAUGGUUAAACACUGUUCGAGAAAUUUCUGAAUAUUUAAUUAAAUGUUUAAAUUGCAGUA